AUACUUACCUGGCAGAGGCAAUUCCAUGAUCACAAAAUUGGUUUCACCAGGGUGAGGCUCAUCCCUUGCACUCCAGGUGUGUUGACCCCUGCGAUUUCCUCAAAUGUGGGAAACUCAACUGCGUAAUUUAUGGUAGUGGGGGACUGCAAGCAUGCUCUCCCCUG
Suncus etruscus (white-toothed pygmy shrew) is the source of this 164-nucleotide small nuclear RNA. RefSeq annotates it as U1 spliceosomal RNA. The transcript has a single exon. Lineage: Eukaryota; Metazoa; Chordata; Mammalia; Eulipotyphla; Soricidae. The record is from RefSeq and is a predicted model, not a curated record.